AUUCAUGGCUCAGGACGAACGCUGGCGGCGUGCUUAACACAUGCAAGUCGAGCGGUAAGGCCUUUCGGGGUACACGAGCGGCGAACGGGUGAGUAACACGUGGGUGAUCUGCCCUGCACUUCGGGAUAAGCCUGGGAAACUGGGUCUAAUACCGGAUAUGACCUCAGGUUGCAUGACUUGGGGUGGAAAGAUUUAUCGGUGCAGGAUGGGCCCGCGGCCUAUCAGCUUGUUGGUGGGGUAAUGGCCUACCAAGGCGACGACGGGUAGCCGACCUGAGAGGGUGACCGGCCACACUGGGACUGAGACACGGCCCAGACUCCUACGGGAGGCAGCAGUGGGGAAUAUUGCACAAUGGGCGAAAGCCUGAUGCAGCGACGCCGCGUGAGGGAUGACGGCCUUCGGGUUGUAAACCUCUUUCAGCAGGGACGAAGCGCAAGUGACGGUACCUGCAGAAGAAGCACCGGCUAACUACGUGCCAGCAGCCGCGGUAAUACGUAGGGUGCAAGCGUUGUCCGGAAUUACUGGGCGUAAAGAGUUCGUAGGCGGUUUGUCGCGUCGUUUGUGAAAACCAGCAGCUCAACUGCUGGCUUGCAGGCGAUACGGGCAGACUUGAGUACUGCAGGGGAGACUGGAAUUCCUGGUGUAGCGGUGAAAUGCGCAGAUAUCAGGAGGAACACCGGUGGCGAAGGCGGGUCUCUGGGCAGUAACUGACGCUGAGGAACGAAAGCGUGGGUAGCGAACAGGAUUAGAUACCCUGGUAGUCCACGCCGUAAACGGUGGGCGCUAGGUGUGGGUUCCUUCCACGGAAUCCGUGCCGUAGCUAACGCA
This 828-nucleotide ribosomal RNA is filed under the name Rhodococcus sp. DP_00025. RNAcentral describes it as "bacterial SSU rRNA". It matches the Rfam family "Bacterial small subunit ribosomal RNA", at positions 15 to 859 of the family's 1533-position model. The record is from RNAcentral. Lineage: Bacteria; Bacillati; Actinomycetota; Actinomycetes; Mycobacteriales; Nocardiaceae.